Molecule: ribosomal RNA, 254 nt
Filed under: uncultured bacterium
Lineage: Bacteria
Description: partial 16S ribosomal RNA
Rfam family: Bacterial small subunit ribosomal RNA
Source: RNAcentral
UACGUAGGGUGCGAGCGUUGUCCGGAAUUAUUGGGCGUAAAGAGCUUGUAGGCGGUUUGUCGCGUUGUCCGUGAAAUUCCCUGGCUUAACUGGGGGCGUGCGGGCGAUACGGGCAGACUGGAGUACUGCAGGGGAGACUGGAAUUCCUGGUGUAGCGGUGGAAUGCGCAGAUAUCAGGAGGAACACCGGUGGCGAAGGCGGGUCUCUGGGCAGUAACUGACGCUGGAGGAGCGAAAGCGUGGGGAGCGAACAGG